Molecule: ribosomal RNA, 2902 nt
Filed under: Klebsiella pneumoniae
Lineage: Bacteria; Pseudomonadati; Pseudomonadota; Gammaproteobacteria; Enterobacterales; Enterobacteriaceae
Description: 23S ribosomal RNA
Rfam family: Bacterial large subunit ribosomal RNA
Source: RNAcentral
GGUUAAGCGACUAAGCGUACACGGUGGAUGCCCUGGCAGUCAGAGGCGAUGAAGGACGUGCUAAUCUGCGAAAAGCGUCGGUAAGGUGAUAUGAACCGUUAUAACCGGCGAUGUCCGAAUGGGGAAACCCAGUGCAAUUCGUUGCACUAUCGUUAACUGAAUACAUAGGUUAACGAGGCGAACCGGGGGAACUGAAACAUCUAAGUACCCCGAGGAAAAGAAAUCAACCGAGAUUCCCCCAGUAGCGGCGAGCGAACGGGGAGCAGCCCAGAGUCUGAAUCAGCUUGUGUGUUAGUGGAACGGUCUGGAAAGUCCGACGGUACAGGGUGAUAGUCCCGUACACCAAAAUGCACAGGUUGUGAACUCGAAGAGUAGGGCGGGACACGUGGUAUCCUGUCUGAAUAUGGGGGGACCAUCCUCCAAGGCUAAAUACUCCUGACUGACCGAUAGUGAACCAGUACCGUGAGGGAAAGGCGAAAAGAACCCCGGCGAGGGGAGUGAAAAAGAACCUGAAACCGUGUACGUACAAGCAGUGGGAGCACCUUCGGGUGUGACUGCGUACCUUUUGUAUAAUGGGUCAGCGACUUAUAUUCUGUAGCAAGGUUAACCGUAUAGGGGAGCCGCAGGGAAACCGAGUCUUAACUGGGCGUUAAGUUGCAGGGUAUAGACCCGAAACCCGGUGAUCUAGCCAUGGGCAGGUUGAAGGUUGGGUAACACUAACUGGAGGACCGAACCGACUAAUGUUGAAAAAUUAGCGGAUGACUUGUGGCUGGGGGUGAAAGGCCAAUCAAACCGGGAGAUAGCUGGUUCUCCCCGAAAGCUAUUUAGGUAGCGCCUCGUGAAUUCAUCUUCGGGGGUAGAGCACUGUUUCGGCUAGGGGGUCAUCCCGACUUACCAACCCGAUGCAAACUACGAAUACCGAAGAAUGUUAUCACGGGAGACACACGGCGGGUGCUAACGUCCGUCGUGAAGAGGGAAACAACCCAGACCGCCAGCUAAGGUCCCAAAGUCAUGGUUAAGUGGGAAACGAUGUGGGAAGGCACAGACAGCCAGGAUGUUGGCUUAGAAGCAGCCAUCAUUUAAAGAAAGCGUAAUAGCUCACUGGUCGAGUCGGCCUGCGCGGAAGAUGUAACGGGGCUAAACCAUGCACCGAAGCUGCGGCAGCGACACUAUGUGUUGUUGGGUAGGGGAGCGUUCUGUAAGCCUGCGAAGGUGUGCUGUGAGGCAUGCUGGAGGUAUCAGAAGUGCGAAUGCUGACAUAAGUAACGAUAAAGCGGGUGAAAAGCCCGCUCGCCGGAAGACCAAGGGUUCCUGUCCAACGUUAAUCGGGGCAGGGUGAGUCGACCCCUAAGGCGAGGCCGAAAGGCGUAGUCGAUGGGAAACAGGUUAAUAUUCCUGUACUUGGUGUUACUGCGAAGGGGGGACGGAGAAGGCUAUGUUAGCCGGGCGACGGUUGUCCCGGUUUAAGCAUGUAGGCUGGUUGUCCAGGCAAAUCCGGAUAAUCAAGGCUGAGGUGUGAUGACGAGGCACUACGGUGCUGAAGUAACAAAUGCCCUGCUUCCAGGAAAAGCCUCUAAGCAUCAGGUAACAUUAAAUCGUACCCCAAACCGACACAGGUGGUCAGGUAGAGAAUACCAAGGCGCUUGAGAGAACUCGGGUGAAGGAACUAGGCAAAAUGGUGCCGUAACUUCGGGAGAAGGCACGCUGGUGUGUAGGUGAAGUCCCUGCGGAUGGAGCUGAGACCAGUCGAAGAUACCAGCUGGCUGCAACUGUUUAUUAAAAACACAGCACUGUGCAAACACGAAAGUGGACGUAUACGGUGUGACGCCUGCCCGGUGCCGGAAGGUUAAUUGAUGGGGUUAUCCGUAAGGAGAAGCUCUUGAUCGAAGCCCCGGUAAACGGCGGCCGUAACUAUAACGGUCCUAAGGUAGCGAAAUUCCUUGUCGGGUAAGUUCCGACCUGCACGAAUGGCGUAAUGAUGGCCAGGCUGUCUCCACCCGAGACUCAGUGAAAUUGAACUCGCUGUGAAGAUGCAGUGUACCCGCGGCAAGACGGAAAGACCCCGUGAACCUUUACUAUAGCUUGACACUGAACAUUGAGCCUUGAUGUGUAGGAUAGGUGGGAGGCUUUGAAGCGUGGACGCCAGUCUGCGUGGAGCCAACCUUGAAAUACCACCCUUUAAUGUUUGAUGUUCUAACGUUGGCCCCUGACCGGGGUUGCGGACAGUGUCUGGUGGGUAGUUUGACUGGGGCGGUCUCCUCCCAAAGCGUAACGGAGGAGCACGAAGGUUAGCUAAUCCUGGUCGGACAUCAGGAGGUUAGUGCAAUGGCAUAAGCUAGCUUGACUGCGAGCGUGACGGCGCGAGCAGGUGCGAAAGCAGGUCAUAGUGAUCCGGUGGUUCUGAAUGGAAGGGCCAUCGCUCAACGGAUAAAAGGUACUCCGGGGAUAACAGGCUGAUACCGCCCAAGAGUUCAUAUCGACGGCGGUGUUUGGCACCUCGAUGUCGGCUCAUCACAUCCUGGGGCUGAAGUAGGUCCCAAGGGUAUGGCUGUUCGCCAUUUAAAGUGGUACGCGAGCUGGGUUUAGAACGUCGUGAGACAGUUCGGUCCCUAUCUGCCGUGGGCGCUGGAGAAUUGAGGGGGGCUGCUCCUAGUACGAGAGGACCGGAGUGGACGCAUCACUGGUGUUCGGGUUGUCAUGCCAAUGGCACUGCCCGGUAGCUAAAUGCGGAAGAGAUAAGUGCUGAAAGCAUCUAAGCACGAAACUUGCCCCGAGAUGAGUUCUCCCUGAGACUUUAAGUCUCCUGAAGGAACGUUGAAGACGAUGACGUUGAUAGGCCGGGUGUGUAAGCGCAGCGAUGCGUUGAGCUAACCGGUACUAAUGAACCGUGAGGCUUAACCUU